This 1042-nucleotide long non-coding RNA is filed under the name Cyanistes caeruleus (blue tit). RNAcentral's name for it is "lncRNA (ENSCCEG00000011954.1)". Lineage: Eukaryota; Metazoa; Chordata; Aves; Passeriformes; Paridae. The record is from RNAcentral.
CCUACAAAAUCUCAUCAAACUGCAAAUAUGAUUUGUGUCAAGACAAGAUUAUUGAAUGCCUGGCAAAGUAAUUACUCCUACACAGAGAAAAAUAAGAUCUUUCUUUUAACCACUUCAGGGAAAUUCAUCAAACUUGGCUGUACUCUGAAAAUGUGGUGGGGGUUUGAAAGUGAGGAGGUUUUCUUCAGCUUGUAGCUGUACUUAGUGCAGCUAAAAGAAACAAGACUUAGAAAAAUCAGCACAGACCCAAUUCUCAGCCUCUUAGUGUAAAGUGGCAAUAGGUCUUUUGCCCAAUUAACUCGUGCAGAGUCAGGCUCCUAGUUUAAAGGUAUGAAUGCUAGACAUUUUAUGGCUCUUGCUGAAUAUGUAAAAUGAAAUUAAGAAUAAUGAAUUUCCUCUAUGAACAUGAUUUUUAAUGGUUGGCGAAUCCUUGCAAAGUAAGUAAAUAAGGACCUUACCAGAAGUGCCACACUUUGAGGCUGCUGGAUGGCAUAUAUGGAUUUGCUUUUCUUAAUCACUUUCUUCAAACAUCUUCAAAGUGGAUACUCAGAUGACUAUAGGUUGACAUGGGAUAUGCUCAACAAGGAGCACCCAGAGUAUUUAAAGUUCAGCAAAGUAUUUUGUAAUACUCACUGGAAAUAGCAGCGAAGGUUUUGCCUCUGCUGGGAACCCAGAGUGUCUCUGUGCCAAUUCUGUGCAGGUUGGUCUUUACAACUAUGGAGGAUUUUGGAUGGCAAACAAGGCUGCAGAGCAGAUGUUUUAUGCGGGAGGCCACCCUGGUCAGCUCCCACUGUACUGUGCCAGAAAAAUCAGCAGAAAUUCAUGUUGCACUGUGAGCAACAUUCGCAUGUCACUGUGUCAUCUAGCUCCCAGAAGAGGAGUGUUACAUGAUGGUGAAAUAAGCAGAGAAAACUGGAUAGCGGCUGGACCAUAUGGUGAAGGGAGCGGCUCCCCAUUAAAGAAACAGAGAAAACAACAGAGCAUUGGAGAAGGACAGAGGGGAAAAGAGGAGCCAGGAUAAAAUGGAAGGGUCUGGAUGAUA